CCGAGAAUGACGAACCUCUGGUGUUCCGGUUGUCACGUCAGUGGCAGCGCCGGGUAGCUAUGUUCGGAAGGGAUAAGCGCUGAAAGCAUCUAAGCGCCAAGCCCAUCCCAAGAUAAGAUCACAAUCCAUCGCAAGAUGGUGCAAGGUCCGGGUAGACCACCCGGUUGAUAGGGCAGAAAUGUAAGCGUCGUAAGGCGUUCAGUUUACUGCUACUAAUGACCUUGCCGGUUUAUGCAA
Molecule: ribosomal RNA, 237 nt
Filed under: Opitutaceae bacterium
Lineage: Bacteria; Pseudomonadati; Verrucomicrobiota; Opitutia; Opitutales; Opitutaceae
Description: partial 23S ribosomal RNA
Rfam family: Bacterial large subunit ribosomal RNA
Source: RNAcentral